AAAAUGAAUCGUGGAAUUUGAGGUGCCCUGUGUGGCCCCAGGGGGUUGGGCUGUGCAGGACAUCCUUUCCCACAGGAGGGAAGACCUGCUGCAGCUUUCCAGCAAUGAACAGUCCUCAUUUUCCUGUUUGGUUUUUUUUUUGUUGUUUUGUUGCCUAUCUAGAACUCCCCUGAGCUGGAUGAGGAGGGAUACAGCAUCCGACCCGAGGAACCAGGAUAUAUCCUUUGGUUUUGGCUUUGCCUCUUGGGUUACAGCCUGUAACAGGAGCUGGGCUCACAGGCAGGCCCCUGGCUCUUUUUAUUUCACUGUUAGUAUUUAUUAUUAAUUAUAAUUCCUUAUUCCCACCUUUUGAUUUCCAUUUGGAGUUGGCUCUCCACAGAUAAAGCUGAAUCACCUGAGGCAUUUGAGUUGUCUUUGACUCACUGCUGUGGAAUAAGGAGUGGGGGAACAUCCCAUGGGACGCUCCAUGGAGACCAAAAUGUCUGUGAUUAUCCCAGGAAAAAGGAGGAUCAGGGAGGAGCUUCUGGCUGUUGAAAAGGAGGAUGGAGACAGGUGGGGUGGGAACAGGGACAGGAGCAGGAGGAAUGGCCUUGAAUUCCAAGGGAGGUUUAUGUUGGAUAUAGGGAAAAUUUCUCCAUGGAAAAGGGUGAACAGACAUUGGAACAGCUGCCCAGGGCAGGGGUGGAGUCCCCAUGCCUGGAGGGAUUUAAAAUCCAUGUGGAUGUGGCACUUGGGGAGCUGGGGCAGCACUGGGGCAUGGCUGGACCCGAUUGUCUCAUAGGGCUUUUCCAACCUGAACAACUCCAUGAAAUCCAGACAUGGAUUCAUAAAUCCAACCCUGGGGUGGAUUUAUCCCUGAGAGCAGCAGUUCCUCGUGCUCUGGCUGCACAGGGAUGCAGCAGUGACAGGCCCAGCACAGGAUUAUCCCCUCCUCAUUUUGGGAUCACCAGAUUCCCGCUCUCCAGCAAGCUGGGAACACCGAGGGAGGAAAAUUCCUUAACUGAGCUGUACCUACCAAAGGAAAGCACUUCUACUCCUCCAGCGAGUCGGAGGAGGAGGAGGAGGCGCACAAGAAAUUCAACAUCAAGAUCAAGCCCCUGCAGGCCAAGGAUGUCCUGCGCAGCGCCGCCACCGUGGACGAGCUCAAGGCCUCCAUUGGCAACAUUGCACUUUCUCCAUCCCCCGUGGUGUCUCUUCUCUCCCCUCUCGCUGACCGCAGCGGCGCAGCCCGGUAAGAACUGGGAUGGGGUCACGGGGGUCCCUGUCCUUGCUGGGCUCUGGGGGGGCACAGGGCGUGGGGACAGCUGCCCGGGGGGCACAGGGCAUGGGGACAGCUGCCCGGGGGGCACAGGGCAUGGGGACAGCUGCCAGGGGGGCACAGGGCGUGGGGACAGCUGCCAGGGGGGCACAGGGCGUGGGGACAGCUGCCCGGGGUGCCACACAGCCCCUCGUGUCACCCCAGUUGUGACUGUGUUCCGAGGAUAAGGGGAGAGAUCUGACUCCACAUUUCAGAAGGCUGAUUUAUUAUUUUAUGAUAUAUCUUAUAUUAAAACUAAAAGAAUAGAAGAAAGGAUUUCAUCAGAAGGCUGGCUAAGCUAAGAAUAGAAAGGAAAGAAUGAUAACAAAGGUUUGUGUCUUGGCCUCUCUGUCCGAGCCAGCUGACUGUGAUUGGCCAUUAAUUAGAAACAACCCCAUGAGACCAAUCCCAGAUGCACCUGUUGCAUUCCACAGCAGCAGAUAACCAUUGUUUGCAUUUUGUUCCUGAGGCCUCCCAGCUUCUCAGGAAGAAAAAUCCUAAAGGAAGGAUUUUUCAUAAAAGAUGUUUGUGACACCCAGUGAUAGCACAGGGGGCCUCAGCGAUGGGGAUCCCUGGAGACCCCACUCUGGCUCUGGGGUGUCCCCAUUCCCAUGGCUGGGAGGGUUUGGCUUCUGCCCCACGAGCCCCUGGCACAGCUGGAUGGCAGUGCAGAGUGCCCAUUCCCAGAGGAUGUGCCCAUUUGUGCCCAUUCCCAACCCCUGUG
This is a long non-coding RNA of Junco hyemalis (dark-eyed junco), 2021 nucleotides long. The record is from Ensembl. NCBI's taxonomy places the organism in Eukaryota, Metazoa, Chordata, Aves, Passeriformes, Passerellidae.